RNAcentral lists this ribosomal RNA (220 nucleotides) under Staphylococcus pasteuri. Its description in RNAcentral is "partial 16S ribosomal RNA". It matches the Rfam family "Bacterial small subunit ribosomal RNA", at positions 1244 to 1461 of the family's 1533-position model. The record is from RNAcentral. Lineage: Bacteria; Bacillati; Bacillota; Bacilli; Caryophanales; Staphylococcaceae.
GGGCAGCUAACCCGCGAGGUCAAGCAAAUCCCAUAAAGUUGUUCUCAGUUCGGAUUGUAGUCUGCAACUCGACUACAUGAAGCUGGAAUCGCUAGUAAUCGUAGAUCAGCAUGCUACGGUGAAUACGUUCCCGGGUCUUGUACACACCGCCCGUCACACCACGAGAGUUUGUAACACCCGAAGCCGGUGGAGUAACCAUUUAUGGAGCUAGCCGUCGAAG